RNAcentral lists this ribosomal RNA (267 nucleotides) under uncultured bacterium. RNAcentral describes it as "partial 16S ribosomal RNA". It matches the Rfam family "Bacterial small subunit ribosomal RNA", at positions 793 to 1055 of the family's 1533-position model. The record is from RNAcentral.
GUCCUGGCCGUAAACGAUGGAUACUAGGUGUAGGAGGUAUCGACCCCUUCUGUGCCGGAGUUAACGCAAUAAGUAUCCCGCCUGGGGAGUACGAUCGCAAGAUUGAAACUCAAAGGAAUUGACGGGGGCCCCGCACAAGCGGUGGAGUAUGUGGUUUAAUUCGACGCAACGCGAAGAACCUUACCAAGGCUUGACAUUGAGUGAAAAUGCUAGAGAUAGCAUCCUUUCCUUCGGGAAACACGAAAACAGGUGGUGCAUGGCUGUCGU